CCUGAUGGUGAAGAAGCACCUGAUGACCAGAACUCAUUCAAGAGCUCUUUUGUCCUUCCAAAACAGGGUCUUGAUGUCCCCCUUACAGAAAAAUGUUCAUACAUGUUCCUGCAUGAUGUGUGUGUGCAUGUUGGAUGGUCAUAUUCUAGUGUACUAGCUAGCUAGUAAGCUUGUUUUGCUACCGGAUGAUUGGAUGUCAUCUCAGUUUUUACCUCAUGUAGCCGACCACCUAAUUUGUAGGUAAAGAUACCGUUGGCAUAUAUUAUCAGCAGCAUUUUUUCAUAAACAAAAUAAAAAAUGUUGAUUUAGAUCUACAAUGUGUAUUAUGUCCAUGUUGUUGGCUAGAUGGUAAUGGCUCAUCAGAAUACACACACACACAUGAACGCUAUUAUUUCUCUUCAGAGAAACCAAGCCAGUAUUCUGAUCCUCCUAGCCAUUGCACAUGCCUGUAUUCAUAUGGCCAUUGUGGAUAAUUCUAUGCUUUAAUAGUUCUCCUUAUAUAUCACUGUUUAUUAGUAGGAGAUUUCUUCUGCUUGGCCAUAACAACAAUUUCAUGUUGUUUCUUUUGUAAUUCGAUGGUUGACAAUCUCAUAUAUUACACUAGCUAAUAUAUUACAACGGAAUGAAUCAACUACUCUCAUGGUCGAUCCCAUCCCAUCUAGCAUUAUUUACUGUCUAUCUGUCUGUAUGUAUUUACUCUGGAAAAAAUUCAGUCUGCACAUCUGCAUCUGCAUUGCACAAGUACAGAUGCAUCCGCCCCUGCUAUUUUCUUGUUAUACAUUACAUAGAUGCAUACAUACGCCAAGCUAUUUCCGUGUCUAUCUGUCUGACCUCUCAAGGAUGCAUAUCUCGUUUGUAUGUACUGAAUUUUGUGACAAUUUCGUUUUCCUCAUACUUACAGGAUGCUGCGCUCGCUACUUACAUGUUUUCUGAUGCCGCAACAAAGGACUAUAUGUGGUUUCUUCAGUGGGACUGUUGCUAUCACUCCUCAUGUUCAAUAACAUUUCAGCAUUGGACCUGCUAGUCACCCAAGCCAAGCCUCGCAUCGCUUCAACAAAGCGAUACUUCUUCCAAUCAACCCCUACUUCGGCUCUGCUCUUUUUUCCAUCUUCUCUUAUUUAAGCUAAGAAAGAUUCUGAGUUUGCAUCCAUCUCAUUACACUAGCUAGCACAAUAUAUUAGUUAAGGCAACUCUACUACAUAUCAAUUUCCCCUACUGGAUUGGUUCUAUAUUU
This 1234-nucleotide long non-coding RNA is filed under the name Triticum aestivum (bread wheat). RNAcentral describes it as "long non-coding RNA (TAES_LNC000349)". Lineage: Eukaryota; Viridiplantae; Streptophyta; Magnoliopsida; Poales; Poaceae. The record is from RNAcentral.